Molecule: long non-coding RNA, 274 nt
Filed under: Lathyrus oleraceus (garden pea)
Lineage: Eukaryota; Viridiplantae; Streptophyta; Magnoliopsida; Fabales; Fabaceae
Description: Pisum sativum (pea) long non-coding RNA (PSAT_LNC017666)
Source: RNAcentral
AACCUUACAAUUACAAAUGAUUUUCUCUUAAUCACACUUAGGGUUUCAAUUUCAACCUUCUUAAAUAUCUCAUAGUAGUAUCACACAUUCUUCUCAUCUUCUUUUCCAUGUAGGUCUCGCCUAUUCUACUCUAAUAAGUCCUCUAUUAUGGUUUUUCUUUUUUAUCUUUUAUGUUACUAUUUUCUCUUCCAAUUACGUUUUUAUUGCACUUUUCUUCUCAAUCUCGCAUCUCUUAUGUUCUUUUUUUCAUCUUCUCUAAUCUCUCAUCUCAUAU